CUGUCGGUGUUAACUGGCAUGUUCUGUGGAACGUCCUGCCGGUGGUGGUCCGGGCUCUCGUUCUGCGUAAGGGUUUCCCGAAGCAGGGCGAAAAGUUCCGGCCGCCGGUUCAAUCCCGCCACGGUGCUCUUCACCGAGUGUCGAGGUGGGCCGGCACUUUUACUUUGAACAAAUUAGAGUGCUUAAAGCAGGCGGUUUCCGCCUGAAUACUGUGUGCAUGGAAUAAUAGAAUAGGACCUCGGUUCUAUUUUGUUGGUUUUCAGAACCCGAGGUAAUGAUUAAUAGGGACAGGCGGGGGCAUUCGUAUUGCGACGUUAGAGGUGAAAUUCUUGGAUCGUCGCAAGACGAACCUAAGCGAAAGCAUUUGCCAAGUAUGUUCUCGUUAAUCAAGAACGAAAGUUAGAGGUUCGAAGGCGAUCAGAUACCGCCCUAGUUCUAACCAUAAACGAUGCCAGCCAGCGAUCCGCCGAAGUUCCUCCGAUGACUCGGCGGGCAGCUUCCGGGAAACCAAAGCUUUUGGGUUCCGGGGGAAGUAUGGUUGCAAAGCUGAAACUUAAAGGAAUUGACGGAAGGGCACCACCAGGAGUGGAGCCUGCGGCUUAAUUUGACUCAACACGGGAAACCUCACCAGGCCCGGACACCGGAAGGAUUGACAGAUUGAGAGCUCUUUCUUGAUUCGGUGGGUGGUGGUGCAUGGCCGUUCUUAGUUGGUGGAGCGAUUUGUCUGGUUAAUUCCGAUAACGAACGAGACUCUAGCCUGCUAACUAGGCGAUUCCCGGUACCCACAAUAGUGUUACCGGCGAUUCAAUUUCUUCUUAGAGGGACAGGCGGCUUCUAGCCGCACGAGACUGAGCAAUAACAGGUCUGUAAUGCCCUUAGAUGUUCUGGGCCGCACGCGCGCUACACUGAAGGAAUCAGCGUGUCUUCCCUGGCCGACAGGCCCGGGUAACCCGUUGAACCUCCUUCGUGCUAGGGAUUGGGGCUUGCAAUUGUUCCCCAUGAACGAGGAAUUCCCAGUAAGCGCGAGUCAUAAGCUCGCGUUGAUUACGUCCCUGCCCUUUGUACACACCGCCCGUCGCUACUACCGAUUGAAUGAUUUAGUGAGGUCUUCGGACUGGUGCGCGGCUGUCGGAUCUCUGGCAGCCGAUGUUGCUGGAA
This 1158-nucleotide ribosomal RNA is filed under the name Taihorina geisha. RNAcentral describes it as "SSU rRNA". It matches the Rfam family "Eukaryotic small subunit ribosomal RNA", at positions 638 to 1752 of the family's 1831-position model. The record is from RNAcentral. Lineage: Eukaryota; Metazoa; Arthropoda; Insecta; Hemiptera; Machaerotidae.